ACAGAAGCUCACGUCUCUGUCAGAACCUCGGUAUUUCUGAUGCGCCUGGAAGCCAAUAUCCAAGCCGUUCUCAGCCACUGGAUUGGUGGGCUGCUUUGCUCAGAAACUCCUCGAUCAGGAAUCCCAAGCAUACGUUAGUGAUGACGGUCCCAAAACAAGGGACAUUUCUUAACCAUUCUAAAAACCCGUUUGCUCAUCAGUAACGCAAUAAGAGUUGCUUUCGGUCUUGGUUCAUAUAUUUUAUAUUUGAGCAAGGCAAUGUCCGCUGCUGGGGUUAGAAGUAAAUGGCUCCUCUUCAGCAAACUAGAUCAGUCCGUGGGACGUACGGCUUCCACUCGCAGUGUCCUGAACACUGGCUGGGCUUCCUGUGCGUUCUAGCCGGUUUUCUUUGGAGCCGCGGGUUUCUGCACGGCUCCGGGGUCGGGAUGGCAGAGGCUUCUCGGAACACGCGGAUCUAUGAGUGCAGUCCCCGGGGUAGCCACCAGGGAACGCCAUAGGCUUUCCCGCUGUGUUCCUCCUUGCCUUUUCCGUUUGGGCCAAGUAGUUUCUAUUGACCAUGACAUUACAGAUCAGAAGUGGGUGGGGUCAGAAAACACACCCUGGGAGAAGCUGGCAAAAUGCCCAGAACCGCCAUCACUAGGCCUGGGGUUUUCUUCUGUAGUGGAAUUCUCGUGCUUAUGUAGUACAGGGAGGAGCGCAGCGCAUUUCCGCCAAGACAGGUGAGACUGCAGUUCUGACCUGCGGGCCUCGAUGAAUUGCUUUAGGGCCCCUGGGCGCCGGCAGAGCCGAUCUCCUACACAAAGCAAGCGUGUUAUGUCUACGACCGAACGGGGACACUAAGAAAGAGCCCCAAAGGCCCUGCUUUCAUCCCAAAGAACAGCGCCUGUCUGCGUAGUUUCUACCUUGCUCUAUGAGUGCAUCAGUUUAAGAGAAGACAUGAGAUCAUGGGUUUAAGUGAGGCUUCAUCAUACUAAGACAACGUGAUCAGGUACAAGUCGGUGAUUAAAGUGCAGAACAACUUCCCCAAUACAGGAAUCCAGCUUCUGAAAAUAUCUGUGCUGGAAAACUUGCAAUGGAGGAAUGGAAGACUUGAGAAAGGGAGGGCUGGGAAACAAGAGCUGUGACUCACCCUGAAGACAUUCUUAUUCCCAACCUAUAUAACUCACAUACACUGGAGGAAAUAUCUUCAUGGAAUUAAAACCACAUGGAGUAACAUUUCACGUAAGCAGAAUUCAGGAAGGAUUUCAGUAAUUCCAUCCCAAACACACACAGGUAAAGGGAGUGAAGAUUUCUUCAGCAACAUGGUGGCAGAAAGAUCAUGAAAAGAUCUAGGCCAGGCAAGUAUGCAAACAAGACUGACUCUUCCUUUCCACUGGAGCUUUGGGUAAUUGCUCUCACAAUUCUAUGAUUUGCUGAAGCCACAGAAAAUCAGUUUUAAAACAGGAUUUCUACCCCUGGCUCACUACAUGACAAAUAAUUUUAUCCUGUAAUCUUCUGAUGUUAAACAAAGAUGGCCCUCAAUGUAAUUGUUACAGUGCCUCCUCCCCACUUCUGUUAGCUGUUGCUUCUCUGCCUCCCACGAGUUUAGUGUAAUCCCAGAACUUUGGGAGACCAAGGAGGGCAGAUCACUUGAGGUCAGGAGUCAGA
Long non-coding RNA from Homo sapiens (human), 1647 nucleotides. RefSeq lists it as uncharacterized. The transcript has 4 exons. The record is from RefSeq and is a predicted model, not a curated record. NCBI's taxonomy places the organism in Eukaryota, Metazoa, Chordata, Mammalia, Primates, Hominidae.